UACGGAGGGUGCUAGCGUUAUCCGGAAUUACUGGGUUUAAAGGGUGCGUAGGCGGCUUCAUAAGUUAGAGGUGAAAGCCUAUCGCUCAACGAUAGAAUUGCCUUUGAUACUGUAAAGCUUGAAAGGGGUUGAGGUCAGCAGAAUGUGGCAUGUAGCGGUGAAAUGCAUAGAUAUGCCAUAGAACACCGAUUGCGAAGGCAGCUGGCUGGGCCUAAUUUGACGCUGAGGCGCGAAAGCGUGGGGAGCGAACAGG
This 253-nucleotide ribosomal RNA is filed under the name uncultured bacterium. Its description in RNAcentral is "partial 16S ribosomal RNA". It matches the Rfam family "Bacterial small subunit ribosomal RNA", at positions 524 to 776 of the family's 1533-position model. The record is from RNAcentral.